RNAcentral lists this long non-coding RNA (375 nucleotides) under Panax ginseng (ginseng). RNAcentral describes it as "long non-coding RNA (PGIN_LNC018242)". The record is from RNAcentral. Lineage: Eukaryota; Viridiplantae; Streptophyta; Magnoliopsida; Apiales; Araliaceae.
UUUUUAUCCCUGUAACAUCAAUCAAUAUAUAUCUAGAAUCAUAUAUUCAUCCUUGCACUACAGGCCAAGGACAUUCACCAGUUGGUCAUGUUCAUCUAAACACCUGUUCAUCUUUGCACUACGGGCCAAAGAUAUUCAUCAGAAAUCAUUCAUCUUUGCACUACAGGCCAAAGAUAUUCAAUAAUAUCAUCAUUUAAGACUGAUGAUGACAAAAAAUAUUUUUAAAGAAUGGAAUCCAGUGAAACAAAAUGACAAGGAUUAAGGAUUAAGGAUUCAUACUUUGUUUUAUCCACGUCCAAAAAUACCUCAAAAAUAAUCAUAGUGGUGUAAAAUUCAAGAAUGAUCAAAACAUGGAUACAAUCAAAGCUAGUAUCC